GAGUUUGAUCUUGGCUCAGAUUGAACGCUGGCGGCAUGCCUUACACAUGCAAGUCGAACGGCAGCACGGGAGCUUGCUCCUGGUGGCGAGUGGCGAACGGGUGAGUAAUGCAUCGGAACGUAUCCUGGAGUGGGGGAUAACGUAGCGAAAGUUACGCUAAUACCGCAUAUUCUGUGAGCAGGAAAGCGGGGGACCUUCGGGCCUCGCGCUCUUGGAGCGGCCGAUGUCGGAUUAGCUAGUUGGUGAGGUAAAGGCUCACCAAGGCGACGAUCCGUAGCAGGUCUGAGAGGAUGAUCUGCCACACUGGAACUGAGACACGGUCCAGACUCCUACGGGAGGCAGCAGUGGGGAAUUUUGGACAAUGGGGGCAACCCUGAUCCAGCCAUGCCGCGUGAGUGAAGAAGGCCUCGGUUG
RNAcentral lists this ribosomal RNA (414 nucleotides) under bacterium enrichment culture clone ALO1_GLFRUDD03F9ZXU. Its description in RNAcentral is "bacterial SSU rRNA". It matches the Rfam family "Bacterial small subunit ribosomal RNA", at positions 9 to 425 of the family's 1533-position model. The record is from RNAcentral. RNAcentral also lists the same sequence under 2 other names.